This 28-nucleotide transfer RNA is filed under the name Bryonia alba. RNAcentral describes it as "partial tRNA-His". The record is from RNAcentral. Lineage: Eukaryota; Viridiplantae; Streptophyta; Magnoliopsida; Cucurbitales; Cucurbitaceae.
GGCGGAUGUAGCCAAGNGGAUCAAGGCA